Molecule: small RNA, 77 nt
Filed under: Xanthomonas campestris pv. campestris
Lineage: Bacteria; Pseudomonadati; Pseudomonadota; Gammaproteobacteria; Lysobacterales; Lysobacteraceae
Description: sX9 sRNA
Rfam family: Xanthomonas sRNA sX9
Source: RNAcentral
AUGUACACCCGUACACCCCCGGUUCCCUCCGCGCCGUCCGCACCCAACUGAUGACUGCUCGCUACGUUUUGUUAGCC